This 931-nucleotide long non-coding RNA is filed under the name Prunus dulcis (almond). RNAcentral's name for it is "sRNA ncRNA". The record is from RNAcentral. Lineage: Eukaryota; Viridiplantae; Streptophyta; Magnoliopsida; Rosales; Rosaceae.
GGGAACCAAUCACUCUUAGAGAAUUUGAUGUUGUAGUUGUUCCAUACUUCAUGGGGAGUGACUGCAUUGAAAUCUUUCUGCAAUGUGUUGCAGACGUGGAGGAAAUAUUUGAUUCAAUAGCGAUCCCAAAAGAGAAGAUGUUGAAAAUUGUUGCGUCAUGUUUAGAAGACCGUGUCGCUUCUUGGUGGGAUCAGAUGUGAAAAUCUAGGAAGCAACAAAGUAAGAAUCUUAUCAGUUCCUGACGUUGGAUGAAGAGAUUUUUGUGAAAAAAUUCUUUCCUUUUGAAUAUGAUAUAUAUUUGUUAAGGAAUGAUUACAAGAUUGCUCAACCCAAUAUCAUGGUGACUUAAGAAAAGAUAGAGGAAGAUCUCAAAAAGGAAGAAACUGUGAUGGAUGCUGAAUUAAUUGAAGAUCUAAUAAUCCACAAGACGGAGGAAGAGAUUCCUAUUGUCGUUGAAACCGAUAUUUCAAAAGAUAAAGAACAACAAUUGGAUUUCCUUUGAAAUUCAAGAUAUGGAUAAAUUUGAAUUUGGAGAGGAAAAUAAUUUAUACAAGGAGUUUGAUUCUCAACUGGCAUAUACUAAUCUUGUUUAUGGAAUUAAUUAUAUGAUUAUUCCAUCCAAAUAUGAGCAAGUUCAGACACCACAAAUUGAAGAGGUUAUUUACACAUCAAGUUCUAUGUUACUCAAGUUCAUUUUAAAGACACCUCGAGGUCGAGUUCUUUACAAGUGAAGGGGUCUCAUGUAAGACGAAAUAUGAGUCAAUUAUGGUAUGAAAAAUUAAUUAAAAUAAAGUGGUUCAAAGUUGGAAGGAAAUCGUGCAAGAGAGGAGAAUUCCAAUUAAAUGUCAAUUAUGGCGCUAGGAAAAGAAGGAAGGCGUAUCGUUGGGAUUUUCUAAUUGAUCGAGGAAUUUUGAAGCAAUUAUGAUUCUAU